Long non-coding RNA from Triticum urartu, 2294 nucleotides. RefSeq lists it as uncharacterized. The record is from RefSeq and is a predicted model, not a curated record. Lineage: Eukaryota; Viridiplantae; Streptophyta; Magnoliopsida; Poales; Poaceae.
GUGCAACUGAUUCCUCAACUCCGUGGUUUGUUAGCUGCAAACGAAGAAUACUCUAGUAAAUUCGAUACACACAGUCCCGUAGACAGAUCAACGGAGUAUAUCUUCCAGUGCAGAUAGUUUUUGGGCGAGUGAAUUGUAAAAAACAUCGACACUUCAGGCUAGGUUUACAGGAACCAUAUAUUUACGGAAUUGUGUCAAAAAACACUACUUUCUCUGUUCAUUUUUGUAAGACGUUUAAGACAGCUGAAAUUGAACUGUUUUGGGUGUUGUCUUAAAUGCCUAAAAUGUCUUACAAAAGUGAACGGAGGGAAUAAUUUUUUUCAUAUUUUUUUUAAAAAAAACACUAGUCACUGGCUUAGACCGUUUUGAGCACGAUUAUGACAGGUGGGUCCUGCCAGAAGGGAUGACGUGGCACAACAUAACGGUUCGCAAAUAGACAGAAUAACAGGGACUGAUUUGGAAAAGAGCCUGAGAGGAUAAGGUCAUCUCCUCAGCUGUGCGCACGAGCUCCCGGCCGGCGAGCUCGGCAUGGACGACGGCUCCGCGACGCCCCGCCUCCUUCUCCUUCUCCUCCUCUAUUCCCCCGCCCCCACCUUCCUCCCACUCCCCGGCCUCGGCCUCCCCUUGUUGCUCACAUGCAUCGGCUCCGGCGAGGAGAAGAGGAUGCGCGACGGCGGCCCGCGUAGGCGUGAAGAGGAGGCGCGACAACGACGGCCAUGGAUGAGCUCCGGCCGGAGCUGUGCAUCAGCGGGGCAAAUCCACUAACGGUGGGCAUGGAGGUGCGGUCCAUGUCCCUCGACCGUGAGCUCCUCUGCCGGCGGUGCCCUCCCCUAUCUCUCCCAUCUCUCUCUCUGAGGUCGGUGCCUUCCUCAAUCUCUCCCAUCUCUCUCUGAUGCGUGCCUGAUGCUCAAGCCGACGGCGCCGGAGCUCAAUCAUGGCUGCUCGAUGCCCAAGCUGGAUCAGCCGGAGCUCAUCCAUGGCCGCUGAUGCUCAAGCCGCCGCUGGAGCUCCGUUGCCUCGCCGUCCUAACCGACACCGCCGCUGGAUCCACGCCCUCUUGCCCGUCCCAGACAACGCCGGACCUCCCCUGUGCCCCGCCGCCGGCGUCCACCACCGGGGCGGUGAGAGAUGAAGGUCACGAUCUCACGGAGAGGACCCGAUUGCUUUUUUUUUUCUCAGGGUCCUUUUGCAAAAAAAUUGUAACGGGAUGUAAUUGACUAUUUUUUUGCCACGUCACCCCUUCUGGUGGGACCCACCUAAUAAUCGUGCUCAAAACGGCCUAAGCCAGCGACUAGUAUUUUUUUGCAAAAAAAUUAUAAAAAAAUUAAUGUUUUUUGGCACAAUUCCGUAAAUUUGUGGCUCCUGCAAACCUAGCCUAAAGUGUUGAUGUUUUUUGCAAUUCACUCGUUUUUGAGCCCCCGCUUUCAGUGCCAAAACUUUGCAAAAAUUCAGGGGAAAUCCUUCCUUUUGCCCGACUGAUUUUCUACCCGAAAUCAACCGCCUCAAAGGAUCGCCACGUGUCCCCGUGUGGGCGCAGGAAUUGCUCAACCUCCUCUGCCUUAUCUCAUGCAGCGAAGCCCCUCCACUCGUUCUUCUUCCACCCACACGCGUUGACUACAUCCUUUUGGACGUCGCCGGCAUGUCUUCACACGCUCCUCCGCCACUACUCCCUCGCUCAAGCUGACUUGCGCUGCAUGGACUACAACGAGAGCACCGUUGCUACAAAACCACGCUGCAGUGCUUUGAGUGGAGGAAAAACAUUUUUACGAGCGCCUCGACACCAGUGCGAGUUGACGUUCGCCGGUGCUCGCGGGAGGUGACGGCAGGUGGUGAGAUGUCGCGGCGGACGCUGCUGCGAACGAACGGGACUGCAACCAGGGGCUCUCCGGUGCUACCAUGGAGCAUCCUCCGGCCGCCGUUUGCUGUGACGGAGCAUCGUCAGAACGCCAGAGCUUCACGGUGCUGCGAUGGAGCAUUUGUCGUGAGACCUUUUACGUAUUUUUGAGACAGAAGGGUAAAUUUGGCAUGUUCAAUUCCGCUGGCGGACAUGGCAACCGGCGCCGCUGCUCCCGUACGUCGUUUCCUGGAGAGAUGUGCACUGGUACUGGCUAGUACGUAGCAGAUCAACUUAGCAGCUAGCUUCGUAUGUGAGUUCAUCAAGGAUUCCUGGAGAUCAAUUUGUAUGUUUGUCUGUAUCUCGACUAUUCCACCUGCCAGGUUGCUUUGGGAGAUCAGCUUGUACGUUUGUGUGUGUCUCUCGAUCAAAAGCAUCGGCAAAUCAAGUCGUACAAGUA